Molecule: ribosomal RNA, 431 nt
Filed under: uncultured bacterium
Lineage: Bacteria
Description: bacterial SSU rRNA
Rfam family: Bacterial small subunit ribosomal RNA
Source: RNAcentral
GGMGUAAAGCGSGCGCAGGCGGAUUGGUCAGUCUGUCUUAAAAGUUCGGGGCUUAACCCCGUGAUGGGAUGGAAACUGCCAAUCUAGAGUAUCGGAGAGGAAAGUGGAAUUCCUAGUGUAGCGGUGAAAUGCGUAGAUAUUAGGAAGAACACCAGUGGCGAAGGCGACUUUCUGGACGAAAACUGACGCUGAGGCGCGAAAGCCAGGGGAGCGAACGGGAUUAGAUACCCCGGUAGUCCUGGCCGUAAACGAUGGGUACUAGGUGUAGGAGGUAUCGACCCCUUCUGUGCCGGAGUUAACGCAAUAAGUACCCCGCCUGGGGAGUACGACCGCAAGGUUGAAACUCAAAGGAAUUGACGGGGGCCCGCACAAGCGGUGGAGUAUGUGGUUUAAUUCGACGCAACGCGAAGAACCUUACCAGGUCUUGACAU